Molecule: long non-coding RNA, 1396 nt
Organism: Populus trichocarpa (black cottonwood)
Lineage: Eukaryota; Viridiplantae; Streptophyta; Magnoliopsida; Malpighiales; Salicaceae
Exons: 2
Source: RefSeq, a predicted model, not a curated record
UCAGGGAUUCAAAUUGAAUUUAAUCCAAGGGCACAAUUAGAAAUUAAUUAUUACUGAUUAAGAUCCCAAUUGUUGAGUUUAAAACGUUUAGGGGCCAAAGUGAAAAAUAGCCAUUCCCAAGGACACAAACGGCGCCGUUUGGAAGCACUGUUCAUCAUCCCUCUCGUUUCGCACGGAGAAAGCCGAUUCAACAGGAAAUCUGCAGCAAAUCGUGGACCACGUCUCCUGCCCACGAUCCCGUUCGUGAUUUGAAUAACAGUCCUGCAAAGACAGGACUGGUUUUGAAGCUCUCGAGCUCUAUAAAAAGGAGAGCUGAACCGGGGAAGAGGGGGAACCAAAAAAAAAAGGGAGAGGCAGAGAACGAAACAGGGAGAAAAACACGAAAAAAAGAGAGCCAAGGAGAGAGGCAGGAGACUAUACAGAGGGAAAGGAAGGAGAACCAGAGAAAAAAAAAACAGAAAAGCAGAGCACGAACCAAACAGAGAAAAACACAGAAAAAGGAAAGAAAGAGGAAAACAGGCGGAGAACAACGAAAAACAGAGGAGGAAACCAGACGAAAAACUCAGGGGAAGACAGGGGCAGGUUGAAGCAGAGGAAAGGGAAGGCAAAAUUCCUUCACAACUUCGGCAGCCGCAAACAACAAACGAAAACCGGAGGGAGCACAGGAGAUCGAUCAAAUACCAGAAGCACGGGAACCAACCAUUCGCAGAAUCACAAGAACAAAGAAGGAGAAAAACGUGCAGUAGACCAGGCAAUGCUUCCUUUAAGCUUGUUCGUCUUUGCAACGCCAUUUUCCUUGCGCUCGAGAGCAUGGACCACCGUGAAAUAAGUACACCACUCGUGAACACCAAGCACUAAAAGGUGCCACACCGUUGUCUUUGGAUCCAGGACACCUGAGAGAGCACUCUGGAGAACCCCUUUUAAGGCUGCGAGAAUCCAUGCCAACGCUACACAAAGCCAACAUCUGAAGCCAACACGUGUUAAAUAAACUCAUUUACAGUAUUAAAGAUCGUCGAGGGAAGAGGUGCACUGAUUAAAGUCAUUAGGAACAAAACAAAUUAAUUAGUGUGGUCGCCAUGUGCUAAAGCUAGCCAAGCCAAUUCACCUAAGACAGCUUGGAAUCUGUAAAAAAGAGUGUUAAUCAGGAGAAAAUGGUCUCCCAUAAAAGAGAGAAAAACGAUACAAAGGCAUGGACCAUGGAAUGACACAUACCCACUUGUCCACCAUCCAAGUUUCGUACGUUUUAUGAUAAUUAAACAUUAAAUAUGUGGUAUAGAUUAAGGCGUUAAUGAGGUUUAGAAUCUUUGAUUAUAAUUUAAACCCUAAAGAAGAUACAAACUUAGCUGUUGGCGAGAUUUCUUGCUUUAGGGUGCGGGGAAUAAUCCAACUUUAUGUC